This 243-nucleotide ribosomal RNA is filed under the name Castanediella cagnizarii. Its description in RNAcentral is "partial large subunit ribosomal RNA". It matches the Rfam family "Eukaryotic large subunit ribosomal RNA", at positions 398 to 664 of the family's 3401-position model. The record is from RNAcentral. Lineage: Eukaryota; Fungi; Ascomycota; Sordariomycetes; Amphisphaeriales; Castanediellaceae.
CGUGAAAUUGUUGAAAGGGAAGCGUUUAUGACCAGACUUUUUCCUAGUGGAUCAUCCGGUGUUCUCACCGGUGCACUUCGCUAGGCUUAGGCCAGCAUCGGUUUCCGUAGGGGGAUAAAAGCUUUAGGAAUGUGGCUCUUCGGAGUGUUAUAGCCUAUUGCAUAAUACCCUUAUGGGGACCGAGGUACGCGCAUUGCAAGGAUGCUGGCGUAAUGGUCAUCAACGACCCGUCUUGAAACACGG